RNAcentral lists this ribosomal RNA (433 nucleotides) under uncultured bacterium. RNAcentral's name for it is "partial 16S ribosomal RNA". It matches the Rfam family "Bacterial small subunit ribosomal RNA", at positions 29 to 507 of the family's 1533-position model. The record is from RNAcentral.
AACGAACGCUGGCGGCAUGCCUAACACAUGCAAGUCGAACGAGACCUUCGGGUCUAGUGGCGCACGGGUGCGUAACGCGUGGGAACCUGCCCUUAGGUUCGGAAUAACUCCCCGAAAGGGGUGCUAAUACCGGAUAAUGUCUUCGGACCAAAGAUUUAUCGCCUUUGGAUGGGCCCGCGUUGGAUUAGCUAGUUGGUAGGGUAAAAGCCUACCAAGGCGACGAUCCAUAGCUGGUCUGUGAGGAUGGUCAGCCACACUGGGACUGAGACACGGCCCACACUCCUACGGGACGUAGCAGCGGGGAAUAUUGGACACCGGGCUAAAGCCUGAGCCAGCAAUGUCGCGUGAGUGAUGAAUGCCUUAGGGGUGUAAAGCUCUAUUACCCGGGAUGAUAAUGACAGUACCGGUAGAAUAAGGCCCGGCUAACUCCGUG